This is a long non-coding RNA of Ipomoea nil (Japanese morning glory), 628 nucleotides long. RefSeq lists it as uncharacterized. The transcript has 3 exons. NCBI's taxonomy places the organism in Eukaryota, Viridiplantae, Streptophyta, Magnoliopsida, Solanales, Convolvulaceae. The record is from RefSeq and is a predicted model, not a curated record.
UAGUCAGAUUAUUGUUAAUAUUUAUGCAUUAAAGCUAUAAUGUUAUAGACCACAUUGUCUUACUAUUAUUCCAUACAAUUCUUAUGGUAAAAUACAGGUUAAAAAGCCAAGAAGAUGGACCUAGUCUACAACUUUGAGCAGAACUGAAAGGCUGAUUGAAAUGAAAAGAGUCCACAUAGACAGGUAUAUAUCCCAAGAAGUGGGAUACAGUGUGCACCAUGUCAGCAGAACUUCAAAAGGGACUGAAAUCAUAUUCAGUGCAUAUAAAGUUCUUUCAGGGAUCUUAUAUGCUCGCACCACCCGAAGCUUAAGAGCCUGCCUGGUAUUCAUGGGAGAUAUCUGGCUAGCAAGAACAAACAUUUUUUGCUAUUCAAGAAGAAUCAGAGAGGCUUUGUAGAGGGAGAUUGUAUUUUGUAUUAAUAGUUGUACAUGCGUUGUAUAUAUAAGGUCUGAUGACCUUCGUUAUUGAUCGUAACCAUCCUGAUCAAUAAAUACCUAGAGAAUAGGUAUGGGUUAGUGGGCUCAAUGUCCGAUAUGAACAAUUGAUUACCUUAAAUACAUUCUCUAAUCCCAUUGGAUGAGAGAAUGAUUUGGGUAGAUAUAUUGAAAAAAUUAGGUUUCCUAUAUA